Molecule: long non-coding RNA, 823 nt
Filed under: Bos indicus x Bos taurus (hybrid cattle)
Lineage: Eukaryota; Metazoa; Chordata; Mammalia; Artiodactyla; Bovidae
Description: lncRNA (ENSBIXG00000017036.1)
Source: RNAcentral
CUCCAAAAAGCACGGGUGGUUCAAAAAGCCUGACUCAGCCUGGCCUUAGAGGACCCUCCUGCGGAUGCAGGUAAGGGGUUCCACGGGGGCACAGAGCGUGUCACAACUACCGACACACAUGGAACUGCAUCGCGUGCCUGACCGCAGCACGUGACCAGAAGCCAAGGACUGGGCGCUUCCAGGGCAACACGCCUCCGGUGGAGCUUGGCAUCACUCCAUCCUCCCUCCAACCCCAUCGCACCCACCUGCUCCCCGCCAUGGGCUGCUUCUCCAUGAACGGCCUGAUACUCUUCCAGAUGCCGAAGCCAGAAGUCUUUGAGGCCAAAUGCACCCUCCCGCCCGUCACCUCAAUGACCCCCGCAUCUCACUGGUCAUCUCUCUGUUCUUCCAUUCUGUCUCCUUCUGCUGCCCGGAUGCCAAGGCUGGCCCGUGUACCUCCAUGGAUCCUACAGCACCAAGCUCACCUCCAGCAGAGAAAGUGGAGCCGUCAGUGCAGAAGCAGCUCGCCUUAGCUGUGACAGUGUGUUUCCUUUGUUUUGCUUACUUGAUGUUAUGUGAUGCACAGAUUUUUAUUCUGGGUCUCUUUUCUUGGUCAGGACAGUGACUAAUGGUAAAGAUCCAGCUCUGGUUCUUGAUGUGCUAAUCCUAGCCUUGAGUAUUUCUCUACUUGGCCUGUUACAGUGGGCAUGAAUUUAUACGUGACAGGCAGACACAGAGCCUUUUAGCUAAUUACAAAGAGAACGCCCCACAUGGCAGCCAUCCUGCCCCCUUGGAAACAAAAGCAGAGAAAGAUGAUUUGCUGGUGAUUGAAGGUAAAUCUCCU